This 253-nucleotide ribosomal RNA is filed under the name uncultured bacterium. RNAcentral's name for it is "partial 16S ribosomal RNA". It matches the Rfam family "Bacterial small subunit ribosomal RNA", at positions 524 to 776 of the family's 1533-position model. The record is from RNAcentral.
UGCGAGGGGGGCAAAUGUUGUUCGGAAUCACUGGGCGUAAAGGGCGCGUAGGCGGGUUCUUAAGUUAGGUGUUUAAUCCCGGGGCCCAACCCCGGACCGGCACUUAAAACUGGGAAUCUUGAAUAGUGGAGAGGUCGGUGGAAUUGGAGGUGUAGCGGUGGAAUGCGUAGAGAUCUCCAAGAACACCAGUUGCGAAGGCGGCCGACUGGACACAUAUUGACGCUGAGGCUCGAAAGCAUGGGGAGCAAACAGG